GGUUGAAAUUGUUUAUUUCGGUCCGCCCAUUUAUCCAAAUACGGAAUAUAAGAUUACGUCAUUCUUUUGGCAUCCUGGUGCCUGAUUUCAGUGUUUUACAAGUCGCUUAUUCCGUAUCUAAAUUUACUUUCUCGCUGGUGGCGCUGUCCAGAAUGAGAAAAAUAAUAAAAAAUAAGAGACUUGUGGCAAGUCGAACCAAGCAACAGAAGGGCGCCCUAUACGUCUGAACCAAGUAUAGAAAACUUGCAUUAUAAAAAGAAAAUGGCGCCGCGUACGUCUGGACCAAUUUCCGCAUCAUUUUUGCAAUACGUGUGCUCUAUCUUGUAUUUCUAGUAUCUUUGAUGCAGGGCUUAAGUUUGAUGUUCUGAUUUUUCACUUUAAAUACGAAUUGAACAUCCGUCAUUAGGAAGUUUUUGAUUGCAACGUAAAUAUUACAUGUCACAAUUUGCCGACUUGGAAGUGCGCUGAUGUAAUUUAUCACAAAAGUCAGUACCUGAAACCGACCACCGUCAAAAUGAAGAUACUACGUCAUACUCCUUUUUAGGCCUACUCUUACUUUUCCGUCGUUUGCAUUAGUAACUUACUAAGGUAAAGUAAAUUUACUUUUAAAAUUAACGUAUAAUGUUUAAAUAGAUGACAAUAACGUAAAACUAAUUAAAAGAAACGUACAGUUACGCCUGUUUUCUUUUCAAAUCUAACCACUUAAAUUGUAAAUUAACGUUUGGAAAUAACUGUUUAAAAAUCACAAUAAUUGAAAACAAAACCAGAAAUCAAUUGUGAAUUUUUUUUUUUUUGUCAUUUUUAAAUACUGCCAUCAACGGAUAAGCUGUAAUAAGACUCAUCACAAGAGGACGGACUACAAAUAUUCUGUGGUUUCAUUUUUAAAAAAAUGAAGCGUCUAGUAGAGAGACUAAAACACUAACGGAAAUCAGAUAUUGACUGCAUCAAGUAAUUGAACCUGUAGAUAGCAGCUCAAUUUCUAUUCGUGUACAAUGCAGGAAAUGAUUUUCUCAAUACAUAUCAUUAUAAGAAGGGGUUACUAUUCAAUAUGAGGUGAAAGUCAGCGCUUAAUUUGAGAAAGCGGUAGCGAUGGAAUAUAUAUCUGCAACCAGUUUGGCUCGAAACAAAGUAUAUAUUUGUCAACGAAUAUAGUGAUUGUUGGAAUAUAUUAACUAUGGAUUUUAAGAGUCGAUUCUUAAGAAUGGACACUUAAGCCCAUCAGCCUUUAACAAGCUAGCAACGUAGUCUUUGAUGUUGUAUUCGAAUAUUUUUAAAGUUAAAAAUCCCAAAUUUAUAUUUGUUGUUCACUAUGUUAUUAGAGAUACUACGUAUAUUCAUUCUUGUAUAUACAAGGCGUUUGUUUCUGACGUUGCCCCAGUGGAAGACAACAGACGGUCCUCUUGAGAUUAUUUAGAAUACAUACAUGCGGCGAUAUGUAGCAAUCACAGAAAUUGGAAUAAGAAUACGUAAAAUGGAACAAAUAAACAAGUUAUUAUAAAUUAGCUGACUAAUGUGUUUGAGUUAUUUUCCCAGUUUAAGCUCUGAAGUGUAUAUACAAAGUAUCUAAAUGUAUAGUUUACUGAUCUUGAGUUAUGCAAAAGUUACAUAAGGCGUUACUGUUGAAAUUAUUUUUAACAUGGGCACGGUGAAUGAAUUUGAUGUUUUGUUGGAUCAUCCGGUGGAGGUAUAUCACCCGGGGGAGACUGUCACUGGACGAGUUGUCUUAUCACUCACAAAGGACCUUGCAAUGAAACAUUUGUAUUCGGCUGAUGGCGCUAUUUGGGAACAACGGAGAUAUUACAUUGACAUCGACUCGGUAAACUACUUUUGACUUCUGAAUCUAGAUACAACGAAAUGGGAAUGGAGUUGGUGUCUAUUACGUCACAAUAUGAACUUAAUAUAGUCUUGGCAGCUAUAGCAUUAUCUGGAUAUUCCAACCAUUAUUUUUACAUCGGUUAUGAUGACGUAACGACUGAGGGAACUUAUGUUUGGAAAUCAGGUUCAGCCCAAAUGCAGGGUUAUCAACCCUGGUCACAAGAUUCUGUAUUCGGUGACACUCACUGACAUGCAGCACGAGUUAUUAUCACGUAUGUGAACUAGAGGGAGCUGACAACUACGUGUUUGUUAAAGACGGAGACACUGUUGACGUGGAUCCUACUGAACAGAAUACCUGUGUUGAAGGGCAUACCAUGCAAGAAAUCAAAGUGCGUAGCCUGAUAGAAUGUAUGUCGUCAUGUUUAUUGGAAGAUGGGUGUCUAUCCGUCAACUACCUUCGCAAAAACAAACACUGACGUCACAAACUGCAAACUGAAUGAUAUCCUCAGGUCUGACUACCCAGAAGACACGUUUACAAUAAACACAUGUGAUUAUUACGAAUUUUAUUACGAGUCUAUACAAUCAAUGGUCAUAUUCGAUUGGACGUUGAUCUUUAAAACACGCAUGGGUAUAAUUUUUAUCAAAAUUAUUUUCCCCCAAUUCAAUAAACUAACGAGGUUCUAAUGGUUCAUAGUAAAUGAAAACAUCCCCCUGGGCCUCUACUCGGGUCCAUCAGGAAUUCCCAUGAUUCGCCAGCAAGACAAAACGGUAUUGCAUGAGUGAUCCCCAAGAAGCCAAAUAGUAGUUAAGUCAUGGAGGUAUAAAUAUAUUUUUAUACCUUCAUGGUUAAGUAAGGUUUUCUGUUUUAAUUGUAUAGACUGUAGCUGAGCAAAAUACAAAUGAGCGUUAUAAGAAUCCGUUAUAAUAAAUUACAACGAUCUAGAAAUAUAUAUAAAAACACGCAUACUGAGGACCUAGACAAUUUUACAUGGCACAAACAACCAUGGUCCAAUAGAAAGAUUCAUCAUACCAUAUUUAUAAAACAUUUAUCACCUCCCAACGACACAUGACACAUUUGAAACAUGUCAAGUUUUAUUUUCAACCAGAGUUUUGAUACUUUCAUCUGGGGUCGCUUGAUGCCCGCUCGACAGAGAUCUUGAAUCUCUCUUUUUGGCAAGCCAGUCUCAUUUAAAUUUGCUUUCUUUUUAUCACUUUUAAUAUGACAAAUAAAUGAAAUGAAAAGAUAUGAAAAAUUAAAUACGGAUCCUAUAAAGAUGCUGUUUUAAAAUAGCGUCACCAACAAUAAUUAGAUUUUUUUAAAGUAAUAUCAAGAAAACUCUGGAACAAUUGUUCUUAGAAAAUCAUUAUAUUGAUCAUAGCCGAAUAAGUCGAUAAGGUCUAUAUGCCAAUAUGCAAACAAAAUAAGCGAGAAAUAGUGUAUUGUUCUAACUAUACACUUACAGUACAUAGGCCUGUACAAAUUAAGCAAAUUUACAUAUUAAACAUAUUUCUAAAUUUAAUCAUAAUUAAGUAAAACAGUGUAUGGUUUAACAAUUUCAUGCUCAGUAAAUUACUAAUUUUUCUGCUUUAAGAAAUAUUGUAUAAAGUGUCUCAAUUUGUAUAGGCCUAUGUAUGUAUAUUAGCAAGCAUUAUAAUGAAAAAUGUAUAACGUAAAACCACGAAUUGAAGCUUCUUUUUUGUGUGCGAAAUUUGAAUGACUUUCAUUUCGUGGCUACGUUUGCAAAUUAAAAAUGGGGCUUCUUUUCUAAAUGAAUGCUGUAGAUUUUGGGAAUUAUUAAUAUAAAACAAUAAAUAGCGCCACUGUAACAUCAAUAUCUAUCAUGGAGUGAAUUAGCAGGCAUUAAAACUACUGUAUAAAUCAAGUGUGUUUAAUUUUUUUCUGUGAAACUUAUGUACAGUGUAUGUAUUGUAGUAUCUCAAAAAAAGCCCAUGCUUUCUUCAACAGAAGCCUAUGGGCUUUCUUUCGAGAUCUGAUUCUUUUAGAGGCUACUUUUGCGAACAAAAGAAGGAGCUUCAGUUCAGAUCAAGUCAAAUCAACGUUUACUUUUCCUUUUGAACAUCAAACAAUGAAUAGAAAAUUC
Long non-coding RNA from Anneissia japonica, 3917 nucleotides. RefSeq lists it as uncharacterized. The transcript is spliced from 4 exons. NCBI's taxonomy places the organism in Eukaryota, Metazoa, Echinodermata, Crinoidea, Comatulida, Comatulidae. The record is from RefSeq and is a predicted model, not a curated record.